UAUGCCCUACGGGGCGCAGCAGUGGGGAAUAUUGGGCAAUGGGCGCAAGCCUGACCCAGCAACGCCGCGUGAAGGAAGAAGGCUUUCGGGUUGUAAACUUCUUUUAUGAGGGACGAAACAAAUGACGGUACCUCAUGAAUAAGCCACGGCUAACUACGUGCCAGCAGCCGCGGUAAUACGUAGGUGGCAAGCGUUAUCCGGAUUUACUGGGUGUAAAGGGCGUGUAGGCGGGGCUGCAAGUCAG
Molecule: ribosomal RNA, 244 nt
Filed under: uncultured bacterium
Lineage: Bacteria
Description: partial 16S ribosomal RNA
Rfam family: Bacterial small subunit ribosomal RNA
Source: RNAcentral